This 46-nucleotide non-coding RNA is filed under the name Schistosoma mattheei. Lineage: Eukaryota; Metazoa; Platyhelminthes; Trematoda; Strigeidida; Schistosomatidae. The record is from RNAcentral.
GCACUGCUGAGGAGUCCCACGAUAGGAUGAAACGAUCUUCCAGUGC